Molecule: ribosomal RNA, 173 nt
Filed under: Vibrio parahaemolyticus
Lineage: Bacteria; Pseudomonadati; Pseudomonadota; Gammaproteobacteria; Vibrionales; Vibrionaceae
Description: partial 23S ribosomal RNA
Rfam family: Bacterial large subunit ribosomal RNA
Source: RNAcentral
GGUUAAGUGACUAAGCGUACACGGUGGAUGCCUUGGCAGUCAGAGGCGAUGAAGGACGUAUUAACUUGCGAUAAGCCCAGAUUAGGCAGUAAAAGCCACUUGAGUCUGGGAUUUCCGAAUGGGGAAACCCAACUGCAUAAGCAGUUACUGUUAACUGAAUACAUAGGUUAACA